CCGGCGACCGGCGCACGGGUGAGUAACACGUAUGCGACCCUGCCCCCCGCAGGGGAUAACCGGGAGAAAUCCCGACUAAUACCGCGUAACGCCGCGGACCUGCAUGGGUCUGCGGCCAAAGGAAGCGAUUCCGGCGGGGGAUGGGCAUGCGGCGCAUUAGCUAGUCGGCGGGGUAACGGCCCACCGAGGCGACGAUGCGUAGGGGUUCUGAGAGGAAGGUCCCCCCACACUGGUACUGAGACACGGACCAGACUCCUACGGGAGGCAGCAG
Molecule: ribosomal RNA, 271 nt
Filed under: uncultured bacterium
Lineage: Bacteria
Description: partial 16S ribosomal RNA
Rfam family: Bacterial small subunit ribosomal RNA
Source: RNAcentral